Molecule: long non-coding RNA, 579 nt
Filed under: Mustela putorius furo (domestic ferret)
Lineage: Eukaryota; Metazoa; Chordata; Mammalia; Carnivora; Mustelidae
Description: lncRNA (ENSMPUG00000030584.1)
Source: RNAcentral
GCUGACCCUCUACUCCAAUCACAUAUACACAACCCCCUACACACAGAGUCCUGCAUUACAAUGAGGGCAAGCUGGGAGUGAGUAUAUUUUCUGUCAUUCUGUGUAUAGCACUGGAAUACUCCUCUCAGAAGAACUGGAGAGCUUAAUUCUUGCUGCUCAUCUACUGCCCUUGCCCCAGCACCCAGCUUCUAAACUCAGAGAACACUUAUGAUGGCAAAAGGCAUCUUUUGAAAGAUUUUAAAGUCAGGAGAGGUCAUGUUCAUGAAGUGCCUGUUCCCUGUCAAUUCUUCAACAUAAUAUUUAGUCAUGUGAGAGUUUUCCCACCUGGAAGCUCCAGUUCACUAAGGAAAAAGCAAACGAGACUGCUGCUUAUAAAAAUGAGAUUGCCUGGGAACAACUGUGGUUCUUCAUUCUGUCAGAUGUGGAGCCUCUACAAGGGACCUACUAGGAUCAUAGAACACAUUCCAGGGCUUCGCAAGCGUCUGGUGUCAGCAUAGCAGGACAGAGACGCCUGUGCUUACCGUUUCCAGCUCUUGUGAAUGAGAAUUGAGCUCUCCCUCCAACCAGUUUUAUUUCCAC